This 492-nucleotide ribosomal RNA is filed under the name uncultured bacterium. RNAcentral describes it as "partial 16S ribosomal RNA". It matches the Rfam family "Bacterial small subunit ribosomal RNA", at positions 28 to 507 of the family's 1533-position model. The record is from RNAcentral.
GAUGAACGCUAGCUACAGGCUUAACACAUGCAAGUCGAGGGGAAACGGCAUCGAAAGCUUGCUUUUGAUGGGCGUCGACCGGCGCACGGGGGAGUAACGCGUAUCCAACCUGCCCAUCACUUGGGAAUAGCCUUGCGAAAGUAAGACUAAUGCCCAAUGACAUCCCACGAAGGCAUCCGAAUGGGAUUAAAGAUUUAUCGGUGAUGGAUGGGGAUGCGUCUGAUUAGCUUGUUGGCGGGGUGACGGCCCACCAAGGCAACGAUCAGUAGGGGUUCUGAGAGGAAGGUACCCCAAAUUGGAACUGAGACACGGUCCAAACUCCUACGGGAAGCAGCAGUGAGGAAUAUUGGUCAAUGGGCGGGAGCCUGAACCAGCCAAGUAGUGUGCAGGAUGACGGUCCUAUGGGUUGUAAUCUGCUUUUAUAAGGGAAUAAAGUGGGUCACGUGUGACUUUUUACAUGUACCUUAUGAAUAAGGACCGGCUAAUUCCGUG